GAUGAACGCUGGCGGCGUGCCUAAUACAUGCCAGUAGAACGCUGAAGGAAGGAGCUUGCUCUUUCCGGAUGAGUUGCGAACGGGUGAGUAACGCGUAGGUAACCUGCCUGGUAGCGGGGGAUAACUAUUGGAAACGAUAGCUAAUACCGCAUAACAGUAGAUGUUGCAUGAUAUCUACUUAAAAGGUGCAAUUGCACCACUACCAGAUGGACCUGCGUUGUAUUAGCUAGUUGGUGAGGUAACGGCUCACCAAGGCGACGAUACAUAGCCGACCUGAGAGGGUGAUCGGCCACACUGGGACUGAGACACGGCCCAGACUCCUACGGGAGGCAGCAGUAGGGAAUCUUCGGCAAUGGACGGAAGUCUGACCGAGCAACGCCGCGGGAGUGAAGAAGGGUUUCGGAUCGUAAAGCUCGGUUGUAAGAGAAGAACGAGUGUGAGAGUGGAAAGUUCACACUGUGACGGUAUCUUACCAGAAAGGGACGGCUAACUACGUG
This 497-nucleotide ribosomal RNA is filed under the name uncultured bacterium. Its description in RNAcentral is "partial 16S ribosomal RNA". It matches the Rfam family "Bacterial small subunit ribosomal RNA", at positions 28 to 507 of the family's 1533-position model. The record is from RNAcentral.